AUUACUCCUACGGGAGGCAGCAGUGGGGAAUCUUAGACAAUGGGCGCAAGCCUGAUCUAGCCAUGCCGCGUGAGCGAUGAAGGCCUUAGGGUUGUAAAGCUCUUUCAGGGGGGAAGAUAAUGACUGUACCCCCAGAAGAAGCCCCGGCUAACUACGUGCCAGCAGCCGCGGUAAUAAU
This 178-nucleotide ribosomal RNA is filed under the name uncultured bacterium. RNAcentral's name for it is "partial 16S ribosomal RNA". It matches the Rfam family "Bacterial small subunit ribosomal RNA", at positions 332 to 526 of the family's 1533-position model. The record is from RNAcentral.